GAUGAAGAACGUAGCGAAAUGCGAUACUUGGUGUGAAUUGCAGAAUCCCGUGAACCAUCGAGUCUUUGAACGCAAGUUGCGCCCGAGGCCUCCUGGUCGAGGGCACGUCUGCCUGGGUGUCACGCAUCGUCGCCCCCGCUCCCCUCGGCUCACGAGGGCGGGGGCGGAUACUGGUCUCCCGCGUGCUCCCGCCCGUGGUUGGCCUAAAAUCGAGUCCCUGGCGACAGUCGCCACGACAAGCGGUGGUUGAGAGACCCUCGGACACGGUCGUGCGCGUGCUUGUCGCCCCCGGGACCUCCCGGACCCCCGAGCAUUGGCUUUCAGGGAUGCUCUCGUUGCGACCCCCGGUCAGGCGGGACUACCCGCUGAGUUUAAGCAUAUCAAUAAGCGGAGGA
RNAcentral lists this unclassified non-coding RNA (395 nucleotides) under soil metagenome. Its description in RNAcentral is "partial contains 5.8S ribosomal RNA, internal transcribed spacer 2, and large subunit ribosomal RNA". The stretch from base 1 to 122 matches the Rfam family "5.8S ribosomal RNA", at positions 35 to 154 of the family's 154-position model. The record is from RNAcentral.